RNAcentral lists this ribosomal RNA (465 nucleotides) under uncultured bacterium. RNAcentral's name for it is "partial 16S ribosomal RNA". It matches the Rfam family "Bacterial small subunit ribosomal RNA", at positions 28 to 507 of the family's 1533-position model. The record is from RNAcentral.
GACGAACGCUGGCGGCGUGCUUAACACAUGCCAGUCGAACGGAAAGGCCCUGCUUGCAGGGUACUCGAGUGGCGAACGGGUGAGUAACACGUGGGUGAUCUGCCCUGCACUUCGGGAUAAGCCUGGGAAACUGGGUCUAAUACCGGAUAUGACCUUCCAUGUAGUGUGGGGGGUGGAAAGAUUUAUCGGUGUGGGAUGAGCCCGCGGCCUAUCAGCUUGUUGGUGGGGUAAUGGCCUACCAAGGCGUCGACGGGUAGCCGGCCUGAGAGGGUGGACGGCCACAUUGGGACUGAGAUACGGCCCAGACUCCUACGGGAGGCAGCAGUGGGUAAUAUUGCACAAUGGGCGGAAGCCUUAUGCAGCGACGCCGCGUGGGGGAUGACGGCCUUCGGGUUGUAAACCUCUUUCGACAGGGACGAAGCUUCGGUGACGGUACCUGUAUAAGAAGCACCGGCUAACUACGUG